Molecule: ribosomal RNA, 618 nt
Filed under: uncultured Ascomycota
Lineage: Eukaryota; Fungi; Ascomycota
Description: eukaryotic LSU rRNA
Rfam family: 5.8S ribosomal RNA (bases 251-404)
Source: RNAcentral
CUUGGUCAUUUAGAGGAAGUCAAUGUCGUAUCAAGGUUUCAGUAGGUGAUCGUGCGGAAGGAUCAUUACAGAGUUCAUGGCCUCUCGGGUAGCCCUCCCACCCUUGUGUAUGUAUACCAUGUUGCUUUGGCAGGCUAGCGGGACCCCUCGGGGGACAGCCUCGGCUCCCUGGGGCCCGAGAGUCGCCUGCCGGAGGAAAAACAAGCUGUGAAUUGUUAGUGUCGUCUGAGUGUUAUAUUUUAAUAGUUAAAACUUUCAACAACGGAUCUCUUGGUUUUGGCAUUGAUGAAGAACGCAGCGAAAUACGAUAAGUAAUGUGAAUUGCAGAAUUCAGGGAAUCAUCGAAUCUUUGAAUGCACAUUGCGCCCCUUGGUAUUCCGGGGGGCAAGCCUGUUCGAGCGUCAUUUCAACCCUCAAGCUCAGCUUGGUAUUGGGCGUCCGCCGGUCGCCCGGCGGGCCUUAAAGUCAGUGGCGGCGCCGUUGGGUCCUGAACGUAGUAACAUACACCUCGUUACAGGGUCCCCGCGUGCUUCUCCCAUUAAACCCCCAACUUUCUAUGGUUGACCUCGGAUCAGGUAGGGAUACCCGCUGAACUUAAGCAUAUCAAUAAGCGGAGGA